AUAAAACAAAUGAAGAAAAGAAUAAAAGAAACAAAGAAGAAUAAGAAACAGAGAGCAUUCGAAAAACAGGGGAAGAAAAGGGCAAGAAAAGAAAAAGGGAAAAUUGAGAUUUUGAAGCUUCAAACUUAUUUGCCAACAAAGAACCUGAAGCAUCAGCAUCGAAAGGAAAGGAGAAAGUCAUCGAGGACUAAAACGGGAGAAUUACGGUUAGUAGAAGUCAAGUGUCUCGGCUCAGCAUCCAAAACAAUCCCGACUCCAACACAAAUUUGGUGAUGUAUAUUUUUCUUUUGGAUAAAAGUGGCAUGUACAUAGGUGUUGUUUAGUCACUUGAAUAUGUAUAUUACUUUGGGUAGUGAAGGAUGAUUUAUAAAAUUUAGAUGGUUAAAUGAAAUAGUAAGGAAAGUACAUGAUAUUUUGAUACAUGAACAUUAAGUUGUUAAAUGAAUGAAGUUUUUAAUCAA
Gossypium arboreum is the source of this 461-nucleotide long non-coding RNA. RefSeq lists it as uncharacterized. The record is from RefSeq and is a predicted model, not a curated record. The transcript has 3 exons. NCBI's taxonomy places the organism in Eukaryota, Viridiplantae, Streptophyta, Magnoliopsida, Malvales, Malvaceae.